Molecule: ribosomal RNA, 253 nt
Filed under: uncultured bacterium
Lineage: Bacteria
Description: partial 16S ribosomal RNA
Rfam family: Bacterial small subunit ribosomal RNA
Source: RNAcentral
UACGGGGGGGGCAAGCGUUGUUCGGAAUUACUGGGCGUAAAGGGCUCGUAGGCGGCCAACUAAGUCAGACGUGAAAUCCCUCGGCUUAACCGGGGAACUGCGUCUGAUACUGGAUGGCUUGAGAUUGGGAGAGGGAUGCGGAAUUCCAGGUGUAGCGGUGAAAUGCGUAGAUAUCUGGAGGAACACCGGUGGCGAAGGCGGGUCUCUGGGCCGAUACUGACGCUGAGGAGCGAAAGCGUGGGGAGCGAACAGG